UUCAACUUUAGAAGGAACAGGGCU
RNAcentral lists this non-coding RNA (24 nucleotides) under Rattus norvegicus (Norway rat). The record is from RNAcentral. Lineage: Eukaryota; Metazoa; Chordata; Mammalia; Rodentia; Muridae.